RNAcentral lists this transfer-messenger RNA (357 nucleotides) under Acidobacteriota bacterium. Its description in RNAcentral is "Acidobacteria bacterium (activated sludge metagenome) transfer-messenger RNA". It matches the Rfam family "transfer-messenger RNA". Rfam says of the family: Bacterial tmRNA, also known as 10Sa RNA or SsrA, is named for its dual tRNA and mRNA-like properties. Its role is to liberate the mRNA from a stalled ribosome. The record is from RNAcentral. Lineage: Bacteria; Pseudomonadati; Acidobacteriota.
GGGGGCGUCCUGGCUUCGACGGGAUCGCAACCUUCGUAGGGAGGCAUGCCGGGUUCCGAGCUCCCGUUAAACGAUCGGAAAACCACAGCUGCCAACAACGACAUGCAGCUCGCAUACGCUGCCUAAUUAGGUCAGCGCGUUCUAACCGGUCGGCCCGUAGGCCGGGGACGAAUGGCAUAAAUCACGGGCUGGGCCAAAGGCUUCUGUUCGGAGCCGUAGGCCGAGAUUAAUCGAGCUGGGUCGCUUCCAACUUGUCCGUUCCUUUGGAGGCGAUCGAGAAAACGGAAUGGACUAAGCAUGUAGUCUCUUUAUGUUGGUCUUUCUCGGACGCGGGUUCGACUCCCGCCGCCUCCACCA